Molecule: ribosomal RNA, 500 nt
Filed under: uncultured bacterium
Lineage: Bacteria
Description: partial 16S ribosomal RNA
Rfam family: Bacterial small subunit ribosomal RNA
Source: RNAcentral
AUUGAACGCUGGCGGAAUGCUUUACACAUGCAAGUCGAACGGCAGCACGGACUUCGGUCUGGUGGCGAGUGGCGAACGGGUGAGUAAUGUAUCGGAACGUGCCCAGUCGUGGGGGAUAACGUAGUGAAAAUUACGCUAAUACCGCAUACGAUCUAUGGAUGAAAGCGGGGGAUCGCAAAACCUCGCGCGAUUGGAGCGGCCGAUAUCAGAUUAGGUAGUUGGUGGGGUAAAGGCACACCAAGCCAACGAUCUGUAGCUGGUCUGAGAGGACGACAAGCCACACUGGAACUGAGACACGGUCCAGACUCCUACGGGAGGCAGCAGUGGGGAAUUUUGGACAAUGGGCGAAAGCCUGAUCCAGCCAUUCCGCGUGCAGGAUGAAGGCCCUCGGGUUGUAAACUGCUUUUGUACAGAACGAAAAGGUUUCUACUAAUACUAGGAGCUCAUGACGGUACUGUAAGAAUAAGCACCGGCUAACUACGUGCCAGCCGCCGCAGUAA